CUCAACCCCGAGCCUGCAGUCGAUACGGGCAGACUAGAGUGCUGUAGGGGAGACUGGAAUUCCUGGUGUAGCGGUGAAAUGCGCAGAUAUCAGGAGGAACACCGGUGGCGAAGGCGGGUCUCUGGGCAGUAACUGACGCUGAGGAGCGAAAGCGUGGGGAGCGAACAGGAUUAGAUACCCUGGGUAGUCCACGCCGUAAACGGUGGGUGCUAGGUGUGAGCGGUAUUCCACGCCGUUCGUGCCGCAGCUAACGCAUUAAGCACCCCGCCUGGGGAGUACGGCCGCAAGGCUAAAACUCAAAGGAAUUGACGGGGGCCCGCACAAGCAGCGGAGCAUGUGGCUUAAUUCGACGCAACGCGAAGAACCUUACCAAGGCUUGACAUGCAGGGAAAUCCUCCAGAGAUGGGGGGUCCGCAAGGGUCCUGCACAGGUGGUGCAUGGUUGUCGUCAGCUCGUGUCGUGAGAUGUUGGGUUAAGUCCCGCAACGAGCGCAACCCUCGUUCUAUGUUGCCAGCGCGUGAUGGCGGGGACUCAUAGGAGACUGCCGGGGUCAACUCGGAGGAAGGUGGGGAUGACGUCAAAUCAUCAUGCCCCUUAUGUCUUGGGCUGCACACAUGCUACAAUGGCCGGUACAAAGGGCUGCUAAACCGCGAGGUGGAGCGAAUCCCACAAAGCCGGUCUCAGUUCGGAU
This 691-nucleotide ribosomal RNA is filed under the name uncultured bacterium. Its description in RNAcentral is "bacterial SSU rRNA". It matches the Rfam family "Bacterial small subunit ribosomal RNA", at positions 608 to 1298 of the family's 1533-position model. The record is from RNAcentral.